UUUGGAUGAAACCUGGGGACCGCAAUGCCUGGGGCAAGGAGAGGAUCCUGCGUCUGAUUAGCUAGUUGGUGAGGUAAUGGCCCACCAAGGCGACGAUCAGUAGCCGGCCUGAGAGGGUGAUCGGCCACACUGGAACUGAGACACGGUCCAGACUCCUACGGGAGGCAGCAGUGGGGAAUUUUGCGCAAUGGGCGAAAGCCUGACGCAGCAACGCCGCGUGGGUGAUGAAGGUCUUCGGAUCGUAAAACCCUGUCGUCGGGGACGAAGGUGGGCGGGUUUAUAGCCUGUUUGCUUGACGGUACCCGGAGAGGAAGCCCCGGCUAACUCUGUGCCAGCAGCCGCGGUAAUACAGAAGGGGCAAGCGUUAUUCGGAAUUAUUGGGCGUAAAAGGCGCGUAAGUGGCUUUUUAAGUGAGAUGUGUAAUCCCUGAGCUCAACUUGGGAACUGCAUCUCAUACUGGGAGGCUAGAGUACUGGAGAGGGUGGUAGAAUCCACGUGUAGCGGUGAAAUGCGUAGAGAUGUGGAGGAAUACCAGUGGCGAAGGCGGCCACCUGGACAGUAACUGACGCUGAGGCGCGAAGGUGUGGGUAGCAAACAGGAUUAGAUACCCUGGUAGUCCACACUGUAAACGAUGAACACUUGGUGUGGAGGGAGUUGACCCCUUCCGUGCCGUAGCUAACGCGUUAAGUGUUCCGCCUGGGGAGUACGGUCGCAAGGCUGAAACUCAACGGAAUUGACGGGGGCCCGCACAAGCGGUGGAGCAUGUGGUUUAAUUCGACGCAAGGCGAAGAACCCCACCUGGGCAAGAACUGUGGUGGACCGGUACAGAGAUGUGCCUUUUCGCAAG
Molecule: ribosomal RNA, 847 nt
Filed under: uncultured Geothrix sp.
Lineage: Bacteria; Pseudomonadati; Acidobacteriota; Holophagae; Holophagales; Holophagaceae
Description: bacterial SSU rRNA
Rfam family: Bacterial small subunit ribosomal RNA
Source: RNAcentral